This is a non-coding RNA of Oryctolagus cuniculus (rabbit), 2871 nucleotides long. Lineage: Eukaryota; Metazoa; Chordata; Mammalia; Lagomorpha; Leporidae. The record is from RefSeq and is a predicted model, not a curated record.
CAGCGCGCUCUCGGCGGGGGCCACGCUGCGCCCGGCUCGGGGCUGCGCGGCCCGGGUCCCGGCCCCUCCCCCAGCUCUCCUUCGGGUCCCAGAACACUUGUCGCCCCGCAAUCCCCUUCUCUCCUGUUUCUCUUCUCCUCGAGGUUGCAUUUUAGACCCCGGGUGCGAAUAUCCACCCAACGCCCUUUCUUUGUCUACUUCUGUCCACGUCCCGGCAGCCCCGUGUGGACCCCUGGUCCCCCUGGUUCCUGGUUAGCGCUCUCUCCACUCUUGUCCUCACGACCUUCUCUUCUUUUGCCCUUUCUCUGUGACUUUUUCUGUACCCAUCUUCCUUCCUGCUCUGUUUGGCCCCUCUUUCCCCUACUUAGUCCCAUUCAACCCGUCAGCCCUCUAAGCCCCUUCCUCCGAGAAUUUUUCUUCUAACCAUUUCCUUGCCCUCUUCCCUCGUCCUUUCUUCAUCUCCCCUGCUCCUCCCCUCCCCCAUCCUCACCCCCCUUUCAGCUCCCCCUCCUCCACCCUCAUCUCCCCUUCUCUUCCCUCCCCUCUUCCAUCCUCAUCUCCAGCCUCCCUCUCCCUUCCCCCACUCCCUGCCUUAAAGCUGCGGGAGAUGAGCGCAGAGGAGUUGAGUCUGGAAGAAAUAAAAAGACUUUGAGAAACGGUCGUCCUGAAGCCUUCGGGAAGGGGACAAAGAGUACAGACCGGGGUAGUUAUUGUUUCAAAAGUGGGAUAUGGCGCUACAAUCUGCUUUCUGUGUGGCGGACGUCCGCAGCUUCCGCGGGGGCAGAAGUUUCUUCAUGUUUAUUCCUUUAAACAAUACUUUUCUGAUACACAAGAAAAGCUGGGAGGAUGGCAAGUGGGAACCAGCAGCAAGCGAGGCUCCGGAUGGAAGCCACCACUGUGGUUUCAGGGGGAGAAAGGCUGUUUCCAGUCAGGGAAAUUGGAACGUUUAUGUGUGUCCCUCUUGCCUUUCAUUAAAGUGAAUAAGUCUGGACUUUUCUGACGUGACGCCACUGCAGUGGGGUUUGUGUUCCAUGCCAGAGAAAGCAAUUGAGCACAGAGGAGUUAAGUCCUACACACAAUGAAGUAGUGCAGUAAAGACAGGAAUGCCUGUGUGGUCCGGCUCUGGAAGAUGACCCUCAUCACAGCUGUCAUUUGGCCUUGCAGUCCACUUCAGAAGACACAUGCAGUGCAUCUUCACAACCUCAUCUGGAAGCUAUUUGUUUUACUCUUAGAAUCUGGAGCGGAGCCAAGCUUAAACCUUGGCCCUCAGUUAUGGAAUGUGAGCGUCCCAAGUGGAAUCUUAACUGCUAUGCACAAUGCCUGCCCCUGAAUUAAUUGUCUUUGUUAUAUUUUAUCCUAAAUUAGUUUUCUGUGUGAUUUGAAUAUCUAAUUCAUUCAUUCUAGCCUAUGCUCUGUGAGUAAUAUACCUAAAAUGCAUCCAUUAUGUUAUCUAGUAUCUAUUGAUUAUUUAUGUGUACACAUGCUUUGGGUUUCAUUUUUAGAAGAUUUUACUUUGUACUGCACAUUCAUUUUUUAUAGUGCCAUUUAUUUACUAAUAUAUCUAUAUAUUUAAAUAUAUUUAAUUUCAAAGGAAAAUCUUUAAAAUAUGCAUGCACUUUUUUUUUGAUAGAUGUCAAACUCCUUAAACUAAAUCUACUUUGAGAGGUCCAAUAGUAAGCAUUUGAAUCUUGGCAGAAGAAAUAGCUGGGGCCAUGAUCUUCAUCAGGGAAGUUCUAUAAGGCAAUGGCUGGCCAGGAAGCAGCUUUUAAAAUCUAUUAGAACAGUGAAGAGACAGCCAUGAAUAAUUUUAAGUGAAUCUCUUGAUUAUCUAUCCUAUAUACUAAAAUCAGGUUAUAUGACUGUAUUUAUAUAAGUUGCCUGGAGACAAAUCAACCUUAAUUCAUUUUUGUUAUUUAUAGGAUAAAGUGCUCUGACUCACCCUUAUUUUCAUUUAUAUAAAUCUGCUAUGGUUUCUGCUUUAUCAGAUGGGGUCAAGGAAGAGAACCAUUUCUCAUUUUCUUGAGCAAAAGUUGACCUUGAAAGGAAACAAUGUAUAUCCUGUAUUAGUCAUGGUGCAAUGGGCUUCUGGAUUUGGAUUACAUAAAGUUAUUAGGAACUGAAUGCCUCAUGAAGAAAACCCUUCCUUAACCACUGUGACUCAUUUAAUAUAAUUUGGUAUGUUUUCUCCUGCCUCCUGAAACUGUACAUGGCCUCUUCCUUAUGUUAUUUUCAAUACAGGUUGGAAAUUUGGUGCACCUUUGGAAGCUCUGAAGAGGGAGGCACUUGUGUGUCUUCUUGCAAAAGGCAUGCUCCUGUCCUGAUCAAGCCAUUGAAGACCCUCCAUUGCCUUGGGGAAAACCUUAUGCUUCUGGUUUGACAUUCUUGUUUGUGUUUCCAUUACCUAGUCCUAGGAAACUCCAACUUAUCCCGAUCCUUCCUGCCUUUUUUUUUUCUUGGUAUAGAUCCCUCUCCCAGUCCAUGAAGCUGGUUGUUUGAAGACUUUUGGUCAGUACCACCUGUUGGUCAUUUAAACAAUGACUCAACCUGUGACUGAAAUUCUAAAUGGAAGACAAAUAUUACAGAUAUUUGAAUAUCCCUUGGUAAUUUACUGAUUGUGACUACCCAAUAUAUUCAAGCACACACAAUGGGCUGCAUAUGUAUCCCACAGUGGUCCUCUAAGGUUAUAAGGGAGCUGAAAAGUUCCUGUAACCUUGUGAUACUAUAACUUCACAAUAAAAUGCAGUAUCCAUGUUUUUGUGGAGCUGCUGAUGUGGACAAACCUUCUGCACUGCCAGUUGUAUUAAAGUAUAGCCCUUACAAUUAUAAACAAUCCAUAAUCCUUGGUCAUGCUAAUAAAUAAUUAUAAAUGGA